UAAACGACUCUCGGCAACGGAUAUCUCGGCUCACGCAUCGAUGAAGAACGUAGCAAAAUGCGAUACUUGGUGUGAAUUGCAGAAUCCCGUGAACCAUCGAGUUUUUGAACGCAAGUUGCGCCCGAAGCCUUYUGGCCRAGGGCACGUCUGCCUGGGYGUCACGC
Molecule: ribosomal RNA, 164 nt
Filed under: Bidens pilosa (bur-marigold)
Lineage: Eukaryota; Viridiplantae; Streptophyta; Magnoliopsida; Asterales; Asteraceae
Description: 5.8S ribosomal RNA
Rfam family: 5.8S ribosomal RNA
About the family: 5.8S ribosomal RNA (5.8S rRNA) is a component of the large subunit of the eukaryotic ribosome. It is transcribed by RNA polymerase I as part of the 45S precursor that also contains 18S and 28S rRNA.
Source: RNAcentral